CGCGGCGCGGCGAGCGAACAGGUGUAAUAUGCCCGACCACUUAUAUACAUAUCUAAAUUGAAUGAGACAUAAAUGCUAUACAUGAAUCCCUUGCUUCAGUGGCGUCGCUCGCGGCCCACU
RNAcentral lists this microRNA precursor (120 nucleotides) under Plutella xylostella (diamondback moth). RNAcentral's name for it is "microRNA pxy-mir-8516 precursor". Lineage: Eukaryota; Metazoa; Arthropoda; Insecta; Lepidoptera; Plutellidae. The record is from miRBase by way of RNAcentral.